This 1324-nucleotide long non-coding RNA is filed under the name Anas platyrhynchos platyrhynchos (common mallard). RNAcentral's name for it is "lncRNA (ENSAPLG00000025459.1)". Lineage: Eukaryota; Metazoa; Chordata; Aves; Anseriformes; Anatidae. The record is from RNAcentral.
GGCUGGUCCCUAUGGGGCUGGGGGGGGCUCAUCCUGCUGGGCGCAUGGGGAUGGCACCGGGGUCCCCGUUGGCACCGGGGUGGGGGCACGGCCGUGGGGGCUUCACCCAUGGGUUCCGCGGUGCCACCCCAGCUGCCCCUCGCCGUCCUCCUGCUGCCGUUGGGAGGAGAAGAUUUCCCCGUGGGAUGGGGCGGCAGCACCGGGACCAGCACCGGGACCAGGAUCCAGCCCUGUCCCCAUCCCCAGGUGUCCCCCCCUGCCCACCCCCAGCUGGGCUCUGUCCCCACGCAACCCCUGGCCCCGGUUCAUCCCCAUCCUUUGGGGGCUCCGUCCCCAUCCCAGGGGGCUCCAUCCCGGCUCAGCCGUGUUGGGGGGAGACUUUUAGGGGGGGUGGGGGUGAAGGAAGUGCCCCGGCCGGGAGCGGCCCCGCUCCCACCACAAAGGCAGGAAGCGGAGCAGCGGGAACGGGCGGCGAAGGCGCUCGAGCUUCAAAGCCCCCGCAGCCCCCAGCCGGGCCCCCGGCCCCUCCUCGGCUCUGUCCCUGGGGGUCCCUUUGCCCGGGGAGGGCUCGGAGCCUUGAGGGGGGGGGGGGGGGGGACUGGGUGGGAGGCGCUGCGGGGGUGUCGGGCUGGGCCCUACAAUUUUGCAGGCGGCGGCGGGAGCGAAAUGAGAGUGGCCCCGUGGGGAGGGAGGCACCGGCCCCGUUCCCGUCCCGGCUCGCCAAGGGCACGUUUGGUGGAGGCGCCGGGGUCCCCGUCCCCGUCCCCAUCCCCGUGGGGUUGUCCCGGGGGUGCUGAGCCUCGCCCAGGCUCUGCCCCUGUUUCCUGCAGCUCCUCGGGGCCGGGAAGGGAUAAUUUUAGCUGCCACGGGGCGGGUGGAGCGCUGGCACCUCCCCGCUGCGGUGGCGGCUGGAUUCGGCUAACGGCCCUGCCCGCCAGCCACCUUGGCUCGGUGGCAGCACCCGAGGGGGGUGACAGCACCCAAAAGGGUGGCAGCACCCAACAGAACGGCACCCGCAGCCAUCCGGCACCCCCGGCACCCAUCGUUUCCACCGUGGCACCUCGUUUUUCCCAGCUCAUCCUUGCCAACACCGUCACCGCGGGCCAUGUCCUUGUGCCAGCGGGUCCCCAGGUCCCUCUUGGCACCCGGGAGAGCCCCGGCCCGGCCGUGCCGGCGCCGCGGUCGGCGUGCCGGAGGCUGCGGUUUGCCGGCGCGGAAGCAGACGCAGGCAGGAAACUUGAGCUCCAUGAACCUGCCCCCGGACAAAGCCCGGCUCCUGCGGCAGUACGACAAUGAGAAGAAAUGGGACCUCAUCUGUGACCAG